Long non-coding RNA from Panicum virgatum (switchgrass), 2342 nucleotides. RefSeq lists it as uncharacterized. The record is from RefSeq and is a predicted model, not a curated record. The transcript is spliced from 3 exons. Lineage: Eukaryota; Viridiplantae; Streptophyta; Magnoliopsida; Poales; Poaceae.
UCCGCCCGCUCCGUGUGUCCGUCGCGCGGAUGUCCGCUCGUCAAUGCUUCGCUCCGCGCAAGUUGCGCAACUGCUCCUCUCCGCGCAACCGCUCCCCGGCCCGCCGGCCGUCGCACGUUUGCCCCCGGAUCCACCUCCUGCACAUCCACGCGCUCGCACCGCCGCACGCGUGCUCGACGGCGCGACCCGGCCGCCACCGCAUGCUCACCCCACCUCCACCUCCACCUCCACCUCCUACACAUCCACAAGGACCGGUCCCCACAUCUGUUGCUCCAGCCAUGCUCGUGCUGGACUGGUGGGUUUUCUCCUCUCACGCGAGUUCCGGCCACGGAGGCAGGAGCGCGGGGUCGGAGCAGGAGGGACGCGGCGCGGUGGCGGAGGUUGGGAUGGGGAUCUGCGCGGUGGAGGAGAUGGGUCUCCGCCGGCUCGAUCCAUCGAUCCGCCCGUAGCUCGGGCCUCAUCGGAGGGUGGGAUAGGGAGGAUCUGCGCAGAGGAGGGGGAAGACCGGGGUGCGGCGGCCUUGGGCAGAGAGGACGGCGGCGAAGUUCAGAGGUCGAUUUGCGCCACCGCGGCUGUUGACCGCGUGAUUCCGGCCGCCUCGCGUGCUGUGCAGCACUGCCGCUGCCUCGCCUCUCAGUCAUCGCACAGCAGCUUCGCCAUCAUCGGUCGUCGAACAGAGCGCCGCAGCCAGAGUUCCGCCCUCCCCGUCGCCUGUCGUCCGUCGGAGCGCCGCCGCCGUGAGGGUCCCUAACCAGCCGCCGUCGGCCGGAUUCCAGCCGUCCCUGUUCUUCUCUGCCGCCGGUGAGCACCCCCGUGAGUUUCCCCUCAUCCUCCUCUUCCUUUCCCCGACCCGGAUUGAAUCCCUUGCACCCCGCCCCCGCAAUGCUGGUUGGCUGGCUAGCCAGAGCUGCUAGGAGCCAUGGCCAGGAGCUCUUUGAGCUUUUGCACAAGGGCCCCUGCGGAAUCUGGUAACUCUUCAGCUUUUUCUUGUGGCUUGCGAGCUUUGCAGAAACGCAGCCGCCUCCCACUCCAGCAUUCCAGGUGAUCCUGUUCUAAUCCACCAAUUUUCCAUUCGCAUCUCAUUCAUCCCAUGAACACCAGGUGCUUGUGUUUUGGUCCAAACUAAUUUCUCUAGAUUUUGGCCUAGGUAUAAAUGAGCGAUCUUUUUUGUCCAUUACUUCCAUGCUUCUGAACCUUGAGGGGCACUCGUUCAUUGGUUGAUGGACCUACAUAUAGAUGAAUGGAACUUUGGAGGAUUGUCUGUUAGUAAGUGUUAUGAAUGAAGUCCAUUCUGAAAUCAAAUUCUCUUCCUGGGUGUCAAUAUGUGUAUGAGUGGAUAUAACUAUAUUUGAAACUGGAGAAUCUGAUGAUCGUUGGUAUGCAUAUAAGUGAAUAUGGCUUGCCUAAGCAGUAUGAAUGAAAAAUUUUAUAGUUGCAUUGUUAAUUGCAACUAUAAACUGAGAUAGUAGAUAAGUCGGGUCAUACUACAUGACCGACUUGAAUCCUUAUUUGAGCAAUUUUUCUUGAUCCAUAUGUUAGUUUUAUAUUGUGGACCUCUCUUUAAUUGAGUGAUAUGAUUAGCUUAGCAGCUUGAGAAAGACUUGAACGGUUCAGCCACAUAAUCAAUUGCGGCUGACAAAAAAACCUUGGCAUUUUUGAUAAAAUAUUUUCUGCAUGCCAUGAUGAUCAGAGCUGCAUCCGCAAUGACCUACUACGAAACUUUUUUUGUCUUACUGGUCAUAUUUUGUAUUUUAUACUAGAGAUAUGAUAUACAAUGCUUACUGUUCUUUAACUAAUAAAUUCCAAAUGUAGGCUUCUGCUGGCAAUGCUGAGAAUAUUUGAGAUGAUUUGAAUGGUCUUGACAAGGCUGUUAGUGCUGUUUUAGGAUUGAGGACUAUAGAAUGUAACCAGUUACUUGUUAGCAUUGAAAAGUAAAUUUACAAAGCAUCGAGAUGAGACAAAUGAGAGAAUCACAAAGCCAGAAGAACUUGUUUGGCUAUAUGAUCUGCUUAUUCAGAUGUGCCUUCUUGGCGAAGUCAUAUAGUUCUGCUGGCAAAAGGGCAGAAGCAUAUGCAUUAUUUUGUCAUGCCCGAACUCUCACUGAUUUCACAAUGCAGCAGCUUGCAAACAGUCCGGACAAGCUUUAAUCCAAGAUCUAGAGUCAUUGCCCGACAAUUGUAGUUCCAAUAGCUGCAUAGAACAUGCGACUGGUAUUAUGGAGGAUGGUAGUGUUCCUUUAGAACUUUAAAAAGGAGCCUCAAACUAUUUCACUUGAUCAUAAAACAAAGGUUGUGUAUUAUUUUUGAACAUUGAUUGAAAUAGCAUGGAGUGUUUGGUAUUAA